GAUGAACGCUGGCGGCGUGCCUAAUACAUGUAAGUCGAGCGAACAGAUAAGGAGCUUGCUCCUUUGACGUUAGCGGCGGACGGGUGAGUAACACGUGGGUAACCUACCUAUAAGACUGGGAUAACUUCGGGAAACCGGAGCUAAUACCGGAUAAUAUUUCGAACCGCAUGGUUCGAUAGUGAAAGAUGGUUUUGCUAUCACUUAUAGAUGGACCCGCGCCGUAUUAGCUAGUCGGUAAGGUAACGGCUUACCAAGGCGACGAUACGUAGCCGACCUGAGAGGGUGAUCGGCCACACUGGAACUGGGACACGGUCCAGACUCCUACGGGAGGCAGCAGUAGGGAAUCUUCCGCAAUGGGCGAAAGCCUGACGGAGCAACGCCGCGUGAGUGAUGAAGGUCUUCGGAUCGUAAAACUCUGUUAUUAGGGAAGAACAUACGUGUAAGUAACUGUGCACGUCUUGACGGUACCUAAUCAGAAAGCCACGGCUAACUACGUG
Molecule: ribosomal RNA, 497 nt
Filed under: uncultured bacterium
Lineage: Bacteria
Description: partial 16S ribosomal RNA
Rfam family: Bacterial small subunit ribosomal RNA
Source: RNAcentral